CUGCCAGACUCCUACGGGAGGCAGCAGUGGGGAAUAUUGGUCAAUGGGCGAGAGCCUGAACCAGCCAAGUCGCGUGAGGGAGUACUGCCCUAUGGGUUGUAAACCUCUUUUGUCGGGGAGCAAAAGCCGGACGUGUCCGGCUGUGAGAGUACCCGAAGAAAAAGCAUCGGCUAACUCCGUGCCAGCAGCCGCGGUAAUACGUAGGGGGCAAGCGUUAUCCGGAAUUAUUGGGCGUAAAGAGUACGUAGGUGGCAACCUAAGCGCAGGGUUUAAGGCAAUGGCUCAACCAUUGUUCGCCCUGCGAACUGGGAUGCUUGAGUGCAGGAGAGGAAAGCGGAAUUCCUAGUGUAGCGGUGAAAUGCGUAGAUAUUAGGAGGAACACCAGUGGCGAAGGCGGCUUUCUGGACUGUAACUGACACUGAGGUACGAAAGCGUGGGGAGCAAACAGGAUUAGAUACCCUUGUAU
RNAcentral lists this ribosomal RNA (466 nucleotides) under uncultured bacterium. RNAcentral describes it as "partial 16S ribosomal RNA". It matches the Rfam family "Bacterial small subunit ribosomal RNA", at positions 328 to 793 of the family's 1533-position model. The record is from RNAcentral.